Long non-coding RNA from Pseudopipra pipra, 649 nucleotides. RefSeq lists it as uncharacterized. The record is from RefSeq and is a predicted model, not a curated record. The transcript has 3 exons. NCBI's taxonomy places the organism in Eukaryota, Metazoa, Chordata, Aves, Passeriformes, Pipridae.
GACACCCUCCAGUAGACCAGGUUGCUCCAAGCCCCGUCUAACCUGGCCUUGAACAGGUCACCUUGAUCAGUCACAUCCUCAGGUGCAAAUUCACAGAUACUCCAGAAAACUUCGUUUUCCAUGACCUCAACAAAACCUUGCUGGUUUCUACCAACUCCCAUCAGUUUCUACUAAGGCAGCAUCCUGCUCAGCCAUAUGUCCCAGUGGGACAUCUCUUCAGAGCCACUUGUCACUACUCCUUGCACACAGGCAAGCAUCCCAGGCUGCCAGAUUGGACUUGACUAUUUAGCUUCAGGAAGGUGGGCACCUGGCCUUGUUUUUCCAUGAAGAUGCUUUGCUGUUGGAAGUGUGAUUUCUUGGACAGACCUCACAGCACUGUAGCUGCACAAAGCUCUCCUCACAUGCUGCAUCAGCAAGGUCAAGCCACUGGGAAAAUUCUUGUUCAUAUUAUUAUGUUGGUCCUUUACCGACAGCUCACAUCAGAAACCUGAUGCUUUCACUGGAGUUUGACACCAUUUGCUUCCUACUGCUUGCCUAUCCUUGUGAAAAAUUGCCGUGUUUUGCUCCAGAAGUGGCUGCAUUCCAGUGGAAGGUGAAGUGCUCCUGCAUGUGGAUUCCUGGACUUUGUUCAAUAAACAUAAAACUUUAA